RNAcentral lists this transfer RNA (73 nucleotides) under Canis lupus familiaris (dog). It matches the Rfam family "tRNA". Rfam says of the family: Transfer RNA (tRNA) molecules are approximately 80 nucleotides in length. Their secondary structure includes four short double-helical elements and three loops (D, anti-codon, and T loops). The record is from Rfam by way of RNAcentral. Lineage: Eukaryota; Metazoa; Chordata; Mammalia; Carnivora; Canidae.
GCCUGGUUGGCUCAGUCGGUAGAGCAUAUGGCUCUUGACCUUCGGGGUGUGAGUUCGAGCCCCACAUUGGCUG